GCUCCCCGAUCCCUCCCACAUUCCCUCCCCUCACGGCCACCCACCCCUUCCCUCGCUCUCCUCUCUCCCUCCCACGACAAAAUCCAGCCUGCUCCAAGAUCCCCACGCUCUACUCCUCCCUCCCUCCCUCCCCUCUGGCAAGAUCGAGCGCGCAGCCUCCCUCUCCUCGGUCCAGAUCGACAGGUCCACCACCUACACUUCCGACGAUCCCCAAUCCGGCGACAGAGAUGGCAGCUCAUGCGCCGGCCAUCUUCCUCGCCCUAGAUGCCGCUGCUCGUCUCCUCUCCGGUGAGAGCGGAGGAGCCACCGCGGUCGAGGCAGCCGCCGUCUGGAGCCCCGCCUCUUCUCCUCCCCAGUCGUCGUGGAGGACCGCCGUGUCCAACCUCCUCGAUGGUGCUGGAACCCUAGGUGGACCAUCUCUUCCUCCCAUGGCCAUGGCCAUGUCGAGCCCGCAAGAUGUGCAGUAGCAAGUCAGACCCCCCACCUUCUUCUUCUUCUUCUACCUACCUCUGGUGUUCUUCCUCUCCACAACCACUGAUGCAAACAUGGUGGGGAAGAUAUUGAUUUCCCAGCCCGCCUGACGGCCUGCUCCUCGCGCGCCCGUGCAGAUCUUCGAGUACAACGGGUCCGCACCCUGCAGCCGCCGGUCCGGGACGAGCGCAGCGCCGGUUCGGGUGUCCUGCACCAAACAGAGCACGCCCCAGGUGCUCGAUGGAACGUCUGCUGCACCACUUUCUCUCAACUUUGUUGCCCUUUGCCAAGCUGAGGGAGAGGGCUAGGCAGGUGCUUUGCUCUUGCACAUGGUGUGUGUCUCCGGCACAGCGGUGCUUCUUGAGGCGACCGGUGGGACGGCGGUUGUGUAUGUCGGCGACAACAAGCUCUCUGGGAGCUCCGCAUCUGAGUCUCGGCCAUGCUCCACAGCAAGGAGCUGGGCCAGGGGAGAAAGCAGCGAUGUUGGUUCCUUGAGGCCGGAUCAAGAAUUUUACUAUGUUUUGUGUUCUUCAUGUGAUUUGAUUUUCAGAAGUUGGAAGAAGAGGACGAUGAAGCAUGGAGUUUUCUAUUAAUCUACCUCUUGUUCUGGUUGUACUCUGUAGCUAGUUAUAUUGUAAUCGGUAGUAGUCAGUAGAUCUAUUUCUAUGAAUACUAUGUAAAGACUGUAAUAGGCUAAUUUUGCAUAUCAUUUCAAGAAUUUAGUUUUGUUCCAUUUGAAA
Triticum aestivum (bread wheat) is the source of this 1211-nucleotide long non-coding RNA. RefSeq lists it as uncharacterized. Lineage: Eukaryota; Viridiplantae; Streptophyta; Magnoliopsida; Poales; Poaceae. The transcript is spliced from 4 exons. The record is from RefSeq and is a predicted model, not a curated record.